CCUACAAUCUUAAUUAAAUUUGAUCAAAUCAAUAAAUUAAUUGAGCCAUAGAUCCGAUCAAAUUAGGAUCAUUUCUCUCUUACCGUUUAAGUCAUCUCAUAAUCUAAUCAGGCUUGACCUGACUGAAUCCAAUUCAAUCAAACUUGAUCCACACUUUAAUGCUCAAUCAAAUUGAGCUAAUUAGUGAUCUAAUUACUAAUUAAUCUUUUAUUAAUGAUAGAGUUCAAAUCUAGUGGGACUCUUCUCUAGAAUUUUCAUCCAGUGGGAUAUUUCAGUAGAGUCCCCAUCCACUGGGACUCUUCAGAUUAGCCAUG
This 314-nucleotide long non-coding RNA is filed under the name Elaeis guineensis (African oil palm). RNAcentral's name for it is "long non-coding RNA (EGUI_LNC024203)". The record is from RNAcentral. Lineage: Eukaryota; Viridiplantae; Streptophyta; Magnoliopsida; Arecales; Arecaceae.